Xiphophorus maculatus (southern platyfish) is the source of this 742-nucleotide long non-coding RNA. RefSeq lists it as uncharacterized. The transcript has 2 exons. The record is from RefSeq and is a predicted model, not a curated record. Lineage: Eukaryota; Metazoa; Chordata; Actinopteri; Cyprinodontiformes; Poeciliidae.
GGGGGGGGUACUGUUAGGUUGGGGUUCUUUUUCCUGUUUUAUUUUGUUUUCUUUUCCUCUUCUGUCCUGGGUUUUUUCUGGAAAGCUGCGUUUCCUUUUACAGCCAUGAGAUGUCACCAGUGAGCGGAGCCCCUGGAGAAGUGUGGCGGCCAACCUGUAGACGCACCUGUGUCUAAUUUUCGAGAGCUGCGGAGGUGCUUCAUAAGGACAGCCUAGCUGACACUCCAGUGCCUGAGUGUUUGCCUUCACUGAUUUCCUUGUGAUCGCCCUGUGACUCCUGGAUGUGGACAAGCGCUCCCCCCUGGAUUUCCUUGUGUUCCUCACGACGCCAUUGGUAUUACCAAUCGGUUGCCUUCCUCCGUGCACUUACCUCCCUGGUCCCUCCCCGUGGAUCCUCUGUGCCUCGCCAUCGGCUGAGCCUGCCAGCGUUUCAUGUUCCGGGAGCUAACUGUCGAAGCCCCGCUCGGAAGUCAACUCACUCUGCUCUCCAGCUGCAAGGCUUACCUGCUCGCUCUCCGACGGUAACUCACUUCUCCAGCCGCCACCAUUGACAAUACUACCUCCGCAUUCAAGUAAGCAUCCUACGAAAGAUUCUCAGAAUUAUUCCAUUUGACCCAUCCCGUGUCUCACUCCGCUUUUUCUCAUAUACAGUCUGACGACCAGUUUCCUCCAGUCCCAGGUUCCAGAACUAUUUCCCCUGACCCCUCUUCCUUUCACCAAAAUAAAUAUUAUUGUUGUUUCA